Molecule: small nuclear RNA, 173 nt
Filed under: Dasypus novemcinctus (nine-banded armadillo)
Lineage: Eukaryota; Metazoa; Chordata; Mammalia; Cingulata; Dasypodidae
Description: U2 spliceosomal RNA (ENSDNOG00000049691.1)
Rfam family: U2 spliceosomal RNA
About the family: U2 is a small nuclear RNA (snRNA) component of the spliceosome (involved in pre-mRNA splicing). Complementary binding between U2 snRNA (in an area lying towards the 5' end but 3' to hairpin I) and the branchpoint sequence (BPS) of the intron results the bulging out of an unpaired adenosine, on the BPS, which initiates a nucleophilic attack at the intronic 5' splice site, thus starting the first of two transesterification reactions that mediate splicing.
Source: RNAcentral
AUCGUUUCCCAGACUUUUGGCUAAGAUCAAGUAUAGUAUCUGUUCUUAUCAGUUUAAUAUCUGAUACAUCCUCUAUCCAAGGACAAUACAUUAAAUGGAUUUUUGGAGCUGGGAAAUGGAACAGGGGCUUGCUCUGUCCACUCUAUGCAUCAACCUGGAAUGGUACACCCCUU